AAGGUUUUUGACUAGGUGAGAGACCAGGUUCAGGUGAGUCACAAUACAACAAUUAAAGGGGUUUAUGGACCCCCAGCCCCCCAUCACUCCCUCCAGCUCCAACAGGAGAAAUAUAAACCCCUUAUGAGGGCUAACCAAUCAAACCAUAAAAUCCAAUAGCCAUACAGUUCAGCUGGAAGAAUGUUCCUUUGUUAAACAAACAAUGUGUCUGGAACACUUUUUGGUCCAUUGUUCCAUUCCAGGACAGAGACUGAAGCUAUAGAAAUAAAUUAGUGAUUUCAAUCAUGCUCAUCCUGGACUGAUCCUACUGGCACAUGGAAACUUCCUGGCUGGGGCUGAAGAAGAGAAUUAACUCUUUCAGGCAAAGUGGAAACAUGAAGUUUUAUGAGAGAGAGAAGAAACCUUUGGUGGUGCACAGGGAUUUGAAUUCAGACUCUCCACAGCACCGGACAAUUGCGCAGUGUUGAAGUCUCAUGCUGGUCUGUAAAGCCAGGCCAGAAGAGGAACUGGGAAUAAUUAGGAUGGGAGAUUACAUCCAACUUACAGAGCAAUGCAGGCCUCUGUGCUUGAAGAGUGUUCCAGCCCAAAUGUUGCCUGGCUGCUGCAGCAUUAGUCUCCAAUGUAAGCAGCUUAUGGAAGCUGUAGUAAAGAAGGGGGGACUCCCAUCUGGGACCAUGGUCCUUGAAAAAGGAAAGAGCCAAUAUGAUGUGA
RNAcentral lists this long non-coding RNA (711 nucleotides) under Homo sapiens (human). RNAcentral describes it as "HSALNT0366357". Lineage: Eukaryota; Metazoa; Chordata; Mammalia; Primates; Hominidae. The record is from RNAcentral.